Schistosoma haematobium is the source of this 45-nucleotide non-coding RNA. Lineage: Eukaryota; Metazoa; Platyhelminthes; Trematoda; Strigeidida; Schistosomatidae. The record is from Rfam.
AUCCAGACGACGAGUCCAAAAUAAGACGAAACACAUGUCCUGAAU